This 386-nucleotide ribosomal RNA is filed under the name uncultured Legionella sp. RNAcentral's name for it is "bacterial SSU rRNA". It matches the Rfam family "Bacterial small subunit ribosomal RNA", at positions 441 to 826 of the family's 1533-position model. Lineage: Bacteria; Pseudomonadati; Pseudomonadota; Gammaproteobacteria; Legionellales; Legionellaceae. The record is from RNAcentral.
AGGGUUGAUAGGUUAAGAGCUGAGUUAUUGGACGUUACCCACAGAAGAAGCACCGGCUAACUCCGUGCCAGCAGCCGCGGUAAUACGGAGGGUGCGAGCGUUAAUCGGAAUUACUGGGCGUAAAGCGUGCGUAGGUGGUUGAAUAAGUUAUCUGUGAAAUUCCUGGGCUUAACCUAGGGUGGUCAGAUGAUACUGUUUAACUCGAGUAUGGGAGAGGGUAGUGGAAUUUCCGGUGUAGCGGUGAAAUGCGUAGAGAUCGGAAGGAACACCAGUGGCGAAGGCGGCUACCUGGCCUAAUACUGACACUGAGGCACGAAAGCGUGGGGAGCAAACAGGAUUAGAUACCCUGGUAGUCCACGCUGUAAACGAUGUCAACUAGCUGUUGG